UCAGACUCGGCCUGCUUCCUUUUCAUUUCGUUGAGUUGGGCCUGGAGAGCUUUGUUCUGAUUGGCUUGCAUCUGGAGCCGGUCCUGCAAGGCUGAGCGUUCCUGCUCGUUGCGACCAAUUAGCUUGCUGUGGAUCUGGUUCUAGAGUGAAGGAAGUCAAAUGUGAGAGGCUCGUUCAUGGCGUUCUUCUUCGGGGAUUCCUUCCAGUGGCCGCCCCCUCCUCCUGUGCUGCUACCACGGGACAUGUGAUGCUGCAGAGAAACAGAUCGUACAGUUGCCUUCUGCCACUGCACAGGUGGGGCACAUGAAAAUGCACACACAGUUGCAGAUCAGACCUAAACAACUGUCAGGAAGAAUUUUGGACCAAUCCUCUUUACAAAAUCAGCAAUUUUCAUGGGAUGUCUGGUGUGGAUGGCUCUCGUGGUCAUGCCACAACAUCUCAAUCCUGUUGAGGUCAGGAC
Long non-coding RNA from Micropterus dolomieu (smallmouth bass), 460 nucleotides. RefSeq lists it as uncharacterized. NCBI's taxonomy places the organism in Eukaryota, Metazoa, Chordata, Actinopteri, Centrarchiformes, Centrarchidae. The transcript is spliced from 3 exons. The record is from RefSeq and is a predicted model, not a curated record.